RNAcentral lists this ribosomal RNA (440 nucleotides) under uncultured bacterium. Its description in RNAcentral is "partial 16S ribosomal RNA". It matches the Rfam family "Bacterial small subunit ribosomal RNA", at positions 338 to 795 of the family's 1533-position model. The record is from RNAcentral.
CCUACGGGAGGCAGCAGUGGGGAAUAUUGCUCAAUGGGGGAAACCCUGAAGCAGCAACGCCGCGUGGAGGAUGAAGGUUCUCGGAUUGUAAACCUCUUUUGUUAGAGAAGAUAAUCACGGUACCUAACCAAUAAGCACCGGCUAACUCCGUGCCAGCAGCCGCGGUAAUACGGAGGGUGCAAGCGUUACUCGGAAUCACUGGGGGGAAAGAGCGCGUAGGCGGGAUAGCAAGUCAGAUGUGAAAUCCUAGGGCUUAACCCUAGAACUGCAUUUGAAACUGUUAUUCUGGAGUAUAGGAGGGGUAGGCGGAAUUCUUGGUGUAGGGGUGAAAUGCGUAGAGAUCAAGAGGAAUACUGAUUGCGAAGGCGACUUGCUAGAAUGUAACUGACGCUGAGGCUCGAAAGCGUGGGGAGCAAACAGGAUUAGAUACCCUUGUAGUC